UUAAGCGACUAAGCGUACACGGUGGAUGCCCUGGCAGUCAGAGGCGAUGAAGGACGUGCUAAUCUGCGAUAAGCGUCGGUAAGGUGAUAUGAACCGUUAUAACCGGCGAUUUCCGAAUGGGGAAACCCAGUGUGAUUCGUCACACUAUCAUUAACUGAAUCCAUAGGUUAAUGAGGCGAACCGGGGGAACUGAAACAUCUAAGUACCCCGAGGAAAAGAAAUCAACCGAGAUUCCCCCAGUAGCGGCGAGCGAACGGGGAGCAGCCCAGAGCCUGAAUCAGUGUGUGUGUUAGUGGAAGCGUCUGGAAAGGCGCGCGAUACAGGGUGACAGCCCCGUACACAAAAAUGCACAUGCUGUGAGCUCGAUGAGUAGGGCGGGACACGUGGUAUCCUGUCUGAAUAUGGGGGGACCAUCCUCCAAGGCUAAAUACUCCUGACUGACCGAUAGUGAACCAGUACCGUGAGGGAAAGGCGAAAAGAACCCCGGCGAGGGGAGUGAAAAAGAACCUGAAACCGUGUACGUACAAGCAGUGGGAGCACAGAGCAAUCUGUGUGACUGCGUACCUUUUGUAUAAUGGGUCAGCGACUUAUAUUCUGUAGCAAGGUUAACCGAAUAGGGGAGCCGAAGGGAAACCGAGUCUUAACUGGGCGUUAAGUUGCAGGGUAUAGACCCGAAACCCGGUGAUCUAGCCAUGGGCAGGUUGAAGGUUGGGUAACACUAACUGGAGGACCGAACCGACUAAUGUUGAAAAAUUAGCGGAUGACUUGUGGCUGGGGGUGAAAGGCCAAUCAAACCGGGAGAUAGCUGGUUCUCCCCGAAAGCUAUUUAGGUAGCGCCUCGUGAAUUCAUCUCCGGGGGUAGAGCACUGUUUCGGCAAGGGGGUCAUCCCGACUUACCAACCCGAUGCAAACUGCGAAUACCGGAGAAUGUUAUCACGGGAGACACACGGCGGGUGCUAACGUCCGUCGUGAAGAGGGAAACAACCCAGACCGCCAGCUAAGGUCCCAAAGUCAUGGUUAAGUGGGAAACGAUGUGGGAAGGCCCAGACAGCCAGGAUGUUGGCUUAGAAGCAGCCAUCAUUUAAAGAAAGCGUAAUAGCUCACUGGUCGAGUCGGCCUGCGCGGAAGAUGUAACGGGGCUAAACCAUGCACCGAAGCUGCGGCAGCGACGCUUAUGCGUUGUUGGGUAGGGGAGCGUUCUGUAAGCCUGCGAAGGUGUGCUGUGAGGCAUGCUGGAGGUAUCAGAAGUGCGAAUGCUGACAUAAGUAACGAUAAAGCGGGUGAAAAGCCCGCUCGCCGGAAGACCAAGGGUUCCUGUCCAACGUUAAUCGGGGCAGGGUGAGUCGACCCCUAAGGCGAGGCCGAAAGGCGUAGUCGAUGGGAAACAGGUUAAUAUUCCUGUACUUGGUGUUACUGCGAAGGGGGGACGGAGAAGGCUAUGUUGGCCGGGCGACGGUUGUCCCGGUUUAAGCGUGUAGGCUGGUUUUCCAGGCAAAUCCGGAAAAUCAAGGCUGAGGCGUGAUGACGAGGCACUACGGUGCUGAAGCAACAAAUGCCCUGCUUCCAGGAAAAGCCUCUAAGCAUCAGGUAACAUCAAAUCGUACCCCAAACCGACACAGGUGGUCAGGUAGAGAAUACCAAGGCGCUUGAGAGAACUCGGGUGAAGGAACUAGGCAAAAUGGUGCCGUAACUUCGGGAGAAGGCACGCUGAUAUGUAGGUGAAGUCCCUCGCGGAUGGAGCUGAAAUCAGUCGAAGAUACCAGCUGGCUGCAACUGUUUAUUAAAAACACAGCACUGUGCAAACACGAAAGUGGACGUAUACGGUGUGACGCCUGCCCGGUGCCGGAAGGUUAAUUGAUGGGGUUAGCGCAAGCGAAGCUCUUGAUCGAAGCCCCGGUAAACGGCGGCCGUAACUAUAACGGUCCUAAGGUAGCGAAAUUCCUUGUCGGGU
Molecule: ribosomal RNA, 1951 nt
Filed under: human gut metagenome
Description: bacterial LSU rRNA
Rfam family: Bacterial large subunit ribosomal RNA
Source: RNAcentral